This 543-nucleotide ribosomal RNA is filed under the name Triticum aestivum (bread wheat). RNAcentral's name for it is "partial small subunit ribosomal RNA". The record is from RNAcentral. Lineage: Eukaryota; Viridiplantae; Streptophyta; Magnoliopsida; Poales; Poaceae.
AUGUUUCCUUCUCAUCUCCGACGGUGCACAGAGCAUCCACAUGACAAGACCAAGGCGGUGAUCAAGAGCACCCUUCUACCACAACUCAUCCCGCGCCGCACGAUGUCCUCCUCCUCCGGUCGCGCCGCCUCUCAACCAGCCGACAAGUUUUGGCUUGAGAUAGUGGGUCACAGGAUGAAAGGUCCGCAGAAUCCGUGCCCGAUGAUUUUCAGAAAGCGAAUCAGUGGUGUGGAUGCCGACAAGGCUGAAGCAGUCUUCCUCGACGUGAUGAUGAUGGCUAAAUAUGAUGGGAAUGUUCCACCAAAUAUGAUGAGUAGUCCCGUUCGAGCAUUGCUCCGGAAGGCGCUUAUCCGAUACAUGAAAAUUAAGUGGUUUAUUAAAGAAAUUGCUCUAUCUCUCAAGAUACGUGUCGUCUUUAAGCUGGGCAAGUUAAACUUUGUUGUCAUCUGCGUGUUGCUUUACGUGACAUACGGGAGGCCCCUAUCUCUGCUCCGGAGGUUCUGGAAGAUCCUAAAUUCUCAAGGAGGCGAUGACUCGGAGUAA